UUGAGUUCCUCAGCAAGGGGAAGAAGAUUUUCACAAGAUUUUAAUACGACAAGUGCGCCAGAAAGGCUAGUCAAGGCAACUUGGGUAAGGAAAUCUUCUGUCCUGCUAGCAAGAUUGUUAUCGCAGUAUUUAUCAGUCAUUUGUAAGUAUUCAGCAGCACAACGAAGAGCAGCUACAUUAUGAACUGUGAUUUCAAAGUUGACUCCAUAGCAAAACUUGGCUGAUUUUUCAAACAUCUCAGGACCUCCUGGUAUCUCAGACAAGUUUAUCCUCGUUACUUCUGUUUCUUUAGACUCUAGUAUAAGUCUUUUUCAAACAUCUCAGGACCUCCAGGUAUCUCAGACAAGUUUAUCCUCGUUACUUCUGUUUCUUUAGACUCUAGUAUAAGUUUCCUUAUGUAGUUGCUCUUCGCCACAAGCAUGAACUGCUAUAUCAGAACAACAACAAAUUAAUGACAACUAUAAUCCAUGAUACGUUUCCAACUCAAACGAAUGAUAACAAGCUCAUAAGUAAC
This 514-nucleotide long non-coding RNA is filed under the name Nicotiana benthamiana. Its description in RNAcentral is "long non-coding RNA (NBEN_LNC040524)". The record is from RNAcentral. Lineage: Eukaryota; Viridiplantae; Streptophyta; Magnoliopsida; Solanales; Solanaceae.